UGGUUUUUAGUUUUAAAGUUUAAAAUAUUAUUUUUGUAAAGUAAAGAUACUUUUGUGUAGUGGGACCAA
RNAcentral lists this transfer RNA (69 nucleotides) under Pyura mirabilis. Its description in RNAcentral is "tRNA-Thr". Lineage: Eukaryota; Metazoa; Chordata; Ascidiacea; Stolidobranchia; Pyuridae. The record is from RNAcentral.